Molecule: RNA transcript, 2483 nt
Organism: Asparagus officinalis (garden asparagus)
Lineage: Eukaryota; Viridiplantae; Streptophyta; Magnoliopsida; Asparagales; Asparagaceae
Gene name: metal transporter Nramp6-like
Exons: 5
Source: RefSeq, a predicted model, not a curated record
GAUACCGUUUGCCCUAAUACCUCUUCUUACUCUAGUAUCAAAGGAGCAUGUGAUGGGUGUUUUCAAAAUUGGCAAGAAGACCCAGUAACUGCAUCGCCAUGUGAAUGUCCCAUCCAGAGGAUGAACCCAUCAUCGUCCUCUUUGGAUUCACUGGCAGCAUCGUUAAGAGUUCCUCUCCGAUGGCGACCUCCCUUACCGCUCCAUCAAGAUGCCCGCCAGCUGCGGUCACCUGGUAAAAAUCUCACCUUGGAGGACUGGCAGUUCAUCGUCUAGGAGCUAAAGCUGGAGAGCUUCGAUAGCGUGGACAUUGCCUUGAGGAGCGGCGGUGGGUCCGUCUGCAGGGAGAUGGGUUCCAUCACGUCGUUGGUAACACCUCGGCGUUUCUGUUUAAUUUGGGGAAGGGGCUGCUGAUCGGAAACCCUAACUGCUCAAUGAUUAUUUGCUUCAUGGAGGCCACUCCUCUGCAUUGGCAGAUGAAGGUUGUAACAAUGGUUGCUAGCACUGCAGCAAUGGAAGAGCUUGAACUGUAGACUUGAGGGGUUCCGUUUAUAUGCCAUCUUUAUUCUUUACUAUCCAAACUGUAGUUCACCUUAUCAAAUUAAUAUUUUCCCUUCAAAUUAAUAUUUUCCCUUCAUUAGGUAUUGAAUGGCAAGGAACCCAGCUUGUAAAAAUCUAUAAACAAUGGGUACUAUCUUUGCGACUAUGUUCUUUAAGAAAAGUGUUGUGCAUAAAGUGAUCUUAUGUUGCUAAUAAUUGCAGUAUGCAGGUAAGUUAUUCUCUCAUAAUGCACCAGUUACGUCAAGUGGAGGAGGAAAUGAAAUUAGUGAGGGGACCAGAAAAUUUUGGGUAACUGCUUCUGGAUAUAGUUAUGAUUUCUGAUAAUUGUUUUUCUUGUUUUUAUUUUUUCUUAUCCACCUUCUCGUGCAGUCAUUCCGAUCUCUGUUUUUACCUUUGAUUUAAAAUGACAAUGACAUCAGAGUGACUGACUGACUGCUAAUUGCAUAAGGGUUCCUAUGAUGAAGGCACUAAUCUGCAAUUCGAGAAGCUACUUGAUGAGAUAAGGUUGAAAUGAAUGAAUUAUGUUAGUAAACUGACUCUGCUGGUUUCAGAUGAAAUGUCUAUACUGAUCAUUUCAUUCAGUUAUCUAUUCAUAAUGUGUUAAGAUUUUAGAAGUUCCACACUUAUUCUUAUAUCGUCAAAAUUUUCAGAACAUUAUGAGGUCAUACGUAAUUAUAUGUACUUCACACAUCUACAUAUGUUAUAUAUUAUUUCUAGAUAAAUAAAUUCACAAAAAGACUUAUAAUGUUCCUGCUUUGCCUAACUAACUUUUUUUUAUUGCAUGCAGUAGUGGAUAACUAAUUCUUUUGGCACAUCCUCUGCAUGUUUGAAUUGAAGAGGCCGAUUUUUCUUCGUGUGUCUUUUGUUAAGACGCCGUUUUUUCUUCCUGUUUCUUUUGUUGAGACAUAAGUUUUCCCCACACUUUAAUAGGCGAACCUUCAUUUACUAGUCUUUUUUAAAUCCUUUUUUAAGGAUUAGUAGGAUUGAAUCCCACUUCUUUUGUGUUUUGGCGACUCUAGUAGUCAACCCCUAAAGUGGAUCUCCAAUGGCAAUUAUAUGUUGGCUCCAUUGAAAUUUUAUUUAAUUCCAUUUUAGUUGGAUUAGUGAUUCCUUUUAAGGACUGGUUAUGAUUUACUGUGUGGAAAUUAGGCUUAGCAUUAUCCUGUAACACCAUGUUGGAUUUCAAUUAUAGUAGUAUAACUUGCAAGGAAAAUCCUUAAGGAAGCUGCUGGGGUCAUUUGAUGAUAGGGCAUCUAAUCUCUUCCCAAUGGCAUUGGAGGUCUCCAGCUUCCUUUGCAGGGAAACGAAGUUAGAAUAUUAUAGAGAGCUGCUUUUUGCAUCCAAAUUUCAUGUGACGAGGUGACACGUGCCAUUUUAUUGGGAUUCCAAUCAAGAUCAGUGACUGAUACAUCACCUGUCCCAUAAUUGUCCAUGAUUCUAGGUAUCAAACACAGAUGACGUUGCAGUGGGCCGGAUCCUUCAGGAUUUAUCCCAAUAGGACCCUUCAGGAUUUAUCCCAAUAGGACGACCAGGGGUUGGACAUAGGUCUGUGGAGAUCAUACAUGCAAAAGAGCAGCACCAAAUGGAGUACAGAUUGCAGAGAAAUUGCUGUAGUCUAUAAGGACAAUUCUGUAAGCUAUGAUACUGUUCUUUAUAGUGGCAUCUGAUAUUCUAUAGAGAAGGAUAAGAGGAUAUGGCUUUCGAUUAAAUUUGUUAUGUCUAUUUCUUGAGGCAAUUUUUAGUGUUGUCCUAUUGUUUCCGUCAAUUGCUAGGACUUGCCAAUUACACAUUAACGUAUGGUGGUUUUUGAUGUAUUGGUGAUUUGAGCAUCACCUAUUGGUUCUGUCAAUUGUUAGGAAUUUUGUGCUAAGUACAUAUUAAUGAAUAAGAUAUUUGUACCAAUUGCAUAUUAAUGUAUUUUCUGG